RNAcentral lists this transfer RNA (75 nucleotides) under bacterium. RNAcentral's name for it is "tRNA-Asn". It matches the Rfam family "tRNA". From Rfam's summary of the family: Transfer RNA (tRNA) molecules are approximately 80 nucleotides in length. RNAcentral also lists the same sequence under 1 other name. The record is from RNAcentral.
UCCGGCGUAGCUCAAUGGCAGAGCAAACGGCUGUUAACCGUUAGGUUACUGGUUCGAGUCCAGUCGCCGGAGCCA